UGGGGAAUAUUGCACAAUGGGGGAAACCCUGAUGCAGCAACGCCGCGUGAGUGAUGACGGUCUUCGGAUUGUAAAGCUCUGUCUUCAGGGACGAUAAUGACGGUACCUGAGGAGGAAGCCACGGCUAACUACGUGCCAGCAGCCGCGGUAAUACGUAGGUGGCAAGCGUUGUCCGGAUUUACUGAGCGUAAAGGGAGCGUAGGUGGAUAUUUAAGUGGGAUGUGAAAUACUCGGGCUUAACCUGGGUGCUGCAUUCCAAACUGAAUAUCUAGAGUGCGGGAGAGGAAAGUAGAAUUCCUAGUGUAGCGGUGAAAUGCGUAGAGAUUAGGAAGAAUACCAGUGGCGAAGGCGACUUACUGGACUGUAACUGACACUGAGGCUCGAAAGCGUGGGGAGCAAACAG
Molecule: ribosomal RNA, 403 nt
Filed under: uncultured bacterium
Lineage: Bacteria
Description: bacterial SSU rRNA
Rfam family: Bacterial small subunit ribosomal RNA
Source: RNAcentral